Molecule: long non-coding RNA, 1232 nt
Organism: Carassius gibelio (silver crucian carp)
Lineage: Eukaryota; Metazoa; Chordata; Actinopteri; Cypriniformes; Cyprinidae
Exons: 3
Source: RefSeq, a predicted model, not a curated record
UAAAAACGGCUGGGUUAUUUUUUAACCCAAAAUGCUGGGUUGAGUCUGUUGGGUCAUUUUGUUGGGUUAUUUAAUUUCUUUUUAAACACUUUUGGGUAGUUUCAAUUUACCAGGUGUUGGGUUAAACCUGCUGGGUUGCGUCGCUGGGUUGUUUCAGGCCAGCGCUGGGUUAUUUAACGCGCCUUGAAGAUGUUUAAAUCGCUCCCCAACUGUCACUUUGGAAGAACAACGGGGCAAAGCCACGGCUUUCUACUGUUUUAAGGUAAGUUUAUUUAAUGUUUUCAAUAAUAAUUAUUUUAAGUUGGCAGAAUUAUAACUUUUUUUUUGCAGCAACAAUACUGUUAAACGUCUACAGGCCAACAUUAUUUACGUUAAAUGAUGAACUGUUUACCUCAAACGGCCAACCUACGUUACGCGACUCGCAUAAUCGUGUUAAGGUAUCUGAGACGACAGAUUAAUAAAGUUUUAUUAAGUUUCAGACAGUGACUGAUGGCUGAAAUAUGCGAAUACCUGUGAAAAUAGAGGAAAAAGUAGUUUCUGACACUGAAAAGCGAAUUUGAUAUUUAAGUGAGUCAAAUGAGUUCAAAAAGUGAAUACGACUUUCUGCUCUAAUGUAAACGCCCGCAGUUGUCCAUAUCGACAUUUAAAUCAUACAAAUUACGUACAAUAUAGUCGGACCGCAGGUCUAAAAGAACCGACGACCCAGUUCAAGUAAACCGGUUCAGUAAUUCUCGAACAAAGUGAUUCCCGGAAAAGAAUCGACGUCUCAGGGCAUUUCAAAGUGCGCGCACGCACAGCGAGUGACGCUGGCCGCGUUAGUGAAGUGAUUUGAUGCUUUUGUGGUUUAUAAAGUCUUUUUACAUACAAAUUAUAAUUCAAAAUGUGUUUUUUUCCUGUCAGAAAAGCGCAUGGAUACAUUUGUGAGAGAAAAACUCGUCGAGUGCAGUCUUAUUGAGGCGUCUAACGGUUGGAACAAACAUGGAAUUCCUUAACUGAGCAGAGUCCACAAAACCCCAUCCAAUUGUCAUGGCGAUUUAAAAAUGUCAGCAGAUCUCUCAGGCAUUGAUCAUAAUCAAUGGACAGGUCACCGUAGCCACCCGUAUCCAGUACGUAUCCAGACCAGAUGGAGAUCAUCAUCUAGAAAGGACCUCUACAUCCCUGAAAGACAGCGGAGACCAGGACAACUAGAGCCCAGAUACAGAUCCCCUGUAAAGACCUUGUCUCAGAGGAGC